This is a long non-coding RNA of Coffea arabica (coffee), 6101 nucleotides long. RefSeq lists it as uncharacterized. The record is from RefSeq and is a predicted model, not a curated record. Lineage: Eukaryota; Viridiplantae; Streptophyta; Magnoliopsida; Gentianales; Rubiaceae.
ACUGCAUUGUUGUGAAAAUUGUGAAUGUUUAAUUUAGUCUUUUUACAUGAUUAUAGGUUUCCUUGAAGUUUCUUGACUGGUGACAUUGUUAUCUAGAUAUGGUCACAUGAAGGCUGAAUUUGAGUUAUUAUAAAGAAGAUAUAUUGGCUCUGAUAGUGAUAAACGGCUAAUACUCAUUUUGUCUACACCUCUUCUUGCCAGAUCUAAAUAGACCUCGCUUUUAUUAUUGUUCCAAUUACAUUGGACAGCUGAUAGAUUUGAAUCUUGACGAGUAGGAAAGUUGGCCAUGGCAACGUGCUAUGCCUUAAUCUGUAUGUAAUCUCCUUAAUGUGUCAAUGGUGAACAUGGAAGAAAGUCUGUUAGCUAUGUCCAAAUAAGGUUCCUCGAAGAUCUGUUUUCAUCAAUCUGAGCUGUAUCCCUUUCAAUUUGAUUUGAACUAUCAAAUUUGGAUAUCAAUUCUCUUCAGCUCAUAGGGGCAGACAAGAUGUGCUUAUCCUUAAUCUUUGGAGAAGCGAAGGUACUUAUCUUAGUAUUUAGAAUUUUUCCUAAAACUAUAAUUUGUUGUCCAUUAACAAGAUGUACUUAUCCUUUAUCUUUGGAGAAGAGAAGGUACUUAUCUUAGUAUUUAGAAUUUUUCCUAAAGCUAUAAUUUGUUGUCCAUUAAAGUAUUCUUUUCCCAUUCUUUUCCCUGUGUUGGAGAGGACCCAUACACUUAGCCUCCUCACUAAGCAUCUUGGUGGUGGUUGCCGUUACAGCAGCCUCCAUUAUCUGUUGCUAAUACCUGUUGGCUGAUUGGCAAAUAACUCCUAAUGUGAUAUCAUUAUUUAUAUGCAUUGUUAUACAUAUGUCAUGCAUUGGUAAGUUUUUGACUGGAUUUUGAUGAAGUUCUUUUUGGUGGUUUGUUUUACAGAAAAAAAAUAUGAUGAUGGUAUUAAAGAAUGCACAAAAGCAUUGGAGCUAAACCUUAACUACAUAAGUGUUUUGCUAAGAAGAGCAGAGGUGUAUGAAAAGUUGUAACAAUUUGAAGAGACUAUAGCAGAUAUGACAAAGGUUUUGGAAGUUGACCCAUCAUAUGAUCAAGCUAGAAGACAGAUUGUUCGCUUGAAGCCAUUAGCAGAUGAAAAACGUCAAAAGAUGAAGGAAGAAAUGAUUGUUGACCAUUGGUGGUAUGAACUUCUUUGGGUAGUUGCUGUUAAAUGAUUCUUUUUUGCUCUUCACGUGUAAAUAUAGGAAUGCUUCAUUUUUGCAAAAGAAAAUGUGUUCUAGGGGAGAAGAGUGGAGGAGGAGGAGAGGAUCUGGAAUUUUUGCAAAAGUAAAAGGAGCUAGUGUGAGCUGAGGUGGCUAGUGCAUUCGGAAGAUUCUGGAGGAAGGGGAAGGUUAAUGUGAGCAGAUAAAGCUUUGCUUCAGGUGCUGCUAAAGAAUAGAUGCUUGUGGAAGUGGACAAACGAUUACUGAGAUUAGCACAAGGAUGGUUUAAGGGAAAUGUAAGCUGAGGGAAAUUGGAAAUUGCAAUUCUGGUCAAUUUGGAAUGAGCGCUGACAAUUUCAAAGCUGUGAAAGAUCCAAACACUGGUUCAUAUUCUAUUCCAUUUCAGUGCUAAUAUCUUUUACAAACUUCACAUAUAUUCUUUAGUUUCUGGAGCUAUGGAUCAAAUGGACUGAAAUCUUAAAGAGGAUGAAGCACGUUUCCUCACAGUGUUGAUCUCAGUCGUAUGAUUAUGUUUUUACAUAUAACUUGAGAAAAAGAAAUUGAUGUGGUUUUUUGCCAUAAUAUGUUAUAAACAGACUUAAAGUUUCACUUUACUGGAAGUUUCUUAUAGUUGCUUUAGUACUUUCCAUUUCUUCGUGGUGUUGUCCAUGGUUUUGAUACUGUUUUGGAGGGCAUCUGAAGGUGCAGCAUAAUUUAUGCUAUCAACGUCUUUGUCAUGAUCUGUUCGGAGAGUAGCAUAGAAAUGUAGAACCUUGCACGCAAACAGGGAGAGAGUCCACCUCCUCUUCCCACCCAUCCCAAAAAAGGGUAAAUUCUGACUAGAUAUCAUAUCAUAGCCACACUAAAAGUGUGUAAGCUCGGAUGAACACUGAAAUGGUCUGGUUACUCCGUAAUUUUCAUGAACUCUGGGGGUGUUUGUUGGUUGCAUGAUUUUUGGGCGGCUUGGGGAUAUGUGGGCGCAGACAGCCUCAUUGAAUCGGGUGCACACUCCUUCCUUUGCCUUCUCUCUCUCUUCCUUGCUCUUAAUUUCAAUCCUUGCUCUCUUCUAAUUACCACUUUCUUUCCUGCUCUUCUAAUUACCGGACCAAUUUCUCCCCUUCGCUUGCUUACACCUUGCAGCACAACUCAGGAAUCAAGUUAAUUCUUGAAAAAUUGAAACUUGCGGAAGAAAGGCAAAUGGAAGGAAGGGACUCACUUUGGUAUCUCUGAACAGGUGGUUGACUACAAGGUCUCUUUCUGCAUGAUUAAAAUACAUACAAAUACCAAUAAACUCUUGACAAUGGAAAGACGUAACUGACGAGAGGUACUGAGGGAGAGGUUGGAAAGAGGAAGCUCUAUUGAAUAUUCCACCCAAUUUGUAGAUUGUAAGUGCCAUGUGGCAGCCCCAGGCUCGAGUUGAUUAUGUUGGUGUCACUGAACCUCCAUGGCCUUCCUCCUUGUGAAGCUAAUGCUAUUGAAUCUUCUCUCUUUUGGUUUUGGUCAUUGAUUUCAAUUUGAACUGUGUUUUUUAGGUAAUGUUUUGGUAUUUAUGCUUUAUUUUGUUCAAAAUGGAAACUUUGAAAUGAUCUUUGCUACAACCUAAAAUAUUUUGGGGUCGGGAUUAUCCAGGAAUUUAACCCUUUUCAUAUGAGUUCAAUUUGAGGGAAUUUAACUAUACAUUCCAUGCUUAUUGUUCAACCUGCUUUGAUGUAUACUUCAUUUAUAAUAUGGGAGAGCUGCAUUACCCAGCUAUUCCACUUUGGAUUGGGCAAGGAUGAAUGGACAGUUGAUAAAAGCCAUUUCUCCACGAGUUAUGGAAACAUAUUGAUAUGCAGCAUUACGGUAUCUAGGUACUCCUAAGAACGCUUUUCAUGUCCCAUAUGCAGUUUUGUGCUCUUGAUCUCAUUUUAUUAUGGCCCAACCUGCAAUUCUAUUUUGUUUUAAAAUUGAGUCAACAUAGUCCAGUUAUAGUGUAAAUGAGAGCCAUUUUGGGGCUGUUUUAUUACCAUUUCAAUGAGAUAGUGGAGUUAGUCUUGAGUUGGUAGGAGCUAUUGGAUAUCCUUGCCUUUCAAUGUUGGACAUUGAUUUUGUUUGUUAAGUCCGUUAAAACUUAAAACAGAGCAUCAAGCUCUCCUGCUUAUAGCAAUUCCUUACUUAUUUUAGUGCCUCUGUUUUCCAUCUUCUACAGCCUUCUAUCUUGUUUCUUUGAGGAGACUACCGAUGUAUUUCUUUCCAAGAAAACAUGCAACUCUAAACUCUCUUUCCUGCAGCAAAAGAAAAAGACAACUUAGAUAUCUAGAGAAAAGAUUAUUAUUGGGAAUUGAGAAGUUUACCACCCUCUGCUGCAAUCUCCUCUCUGAGAUAUCGGUGAAUAUCUACAUUCCUCUCUCAUCCCUCUUGAAUAUGCUGGAAUAUAGCAAACCAUUUAGGUUUUUGAUCUAUUUCAGUCAUUGUAUUUUCUCUAUGUAUUCAGUAGCUUCAGUUACUCAGUUAAAUCGGCUUUUGGUAAUAUUCAUUUGAUUGUGUAUUAGGUCCAGUAAAGAAUGCUAUUGGUGUAAGGAUGAUUAAAUCGAAAUCUUUGUGUCGCUUUCAUGUUCUUAGUAUCAUUAGUAAUAAUUUUUUGUCCUAAUAGACUUUACGAAUCCUGUUUUUCUCACUCGAUUCAGCCAUUAAUGUCCUUUUGCACUAAUUUUGAUAUUUUAGCUUGAGGUAAUUUGUGCAUCGCCUUCCUGUUCAUUUUAACUUGAUUUUGCUUAGUCCUUUAAUGAGAUAAAUAUUUCUAGCAACACUGGAGUUAGUCAAGCACGCAAGAAGUUUAUGUGAAAAGUAAACUAUUGCAACAUCUCAUUUAUUGUUACUUCCUUUUCUUGGAUAUAUUAUUUCAUGUUACUCUAUUGGUUUACUGAUUUGAACUUGAUAUUUAGUUGUAAAUCAUUUAUAGUCUUUCCUUGUGAAUCCGCUUUUACUUGAUUUCAUUUACUAGGAACAUUAACUUUGCAAGUAUGCAGGAUUCAUAAGAAGAAUUUAGCGUCAAUUAGGAUUAUACUCUGGACUUACUCUUAAGGCUUUUCCGUGUUCUCUGAGUUAGUUUAGAACUUUAUUUAGUUUCUAAGGCAUGUAAUUUUACUUCUAUAGAGUAACUUGACAUUUGUAUUUGUUUUAAUGCCACGGAUACGUGGGAAUAUCUUAAGUGGUUUUUGGUGUUUCUGAUUUCUUAUGUUACUGGCCUGCAACAGUUUGAACUUUUUUUUUUGUUUAAAUAAAUAUUAAAUUGCUUAUCUUAGUUCUUUGAUGUAUAGACGAAAUUUUAACAUUGGAUGAGUUUGUGCAAAUACUUCUUCAUUGAAGCAUUGGCUUUUGUUGAGGUUGUUUAAAAAACAAGGCUAUCGCACUACCCAAAUCUGUCCAAUUGGAAGCUCGAAUCGGUCAAGUUCUUGGCAGGAAGUAAAUUCCCGUUAACUUCACUAAAGUGUAUCUCUAGAAUUAACUUCAAUGUAACAACAGUUAAGGUUUGCUUAUGAUAUUUUGUGCAGCUAUGUACAUCGUGAUUUCGUAUUACUAAGUUUGCUUUCCUUUAUACUAUUUGUUUAUCGCAAUGAAUUUUCCUGCAUGCUUGUUGAUUAAAAUUCUCUGUUUCUGGUAAACAAAUGAACCUCCACAUGCUUUUCUUGUCCAAAUUGAGUACAUGAUACUAAUAUUCUGUAAUUUACCUUGGCUCCCUUCUGUUUAAGUAGCUGUAAUCCAUGAUGUCAUAGCUAAUGUGUUGUCCUUUCAAUGCUUCCUCCAGCCUAAAACGUUAAGACCUCAUGAACACGUGUAUAGUUGUCUUCAAAAUUGGACAAUAUAUUGGCCAUCAGGUCUGGAUGGCAUUGUACUUAGAAUAACAUAUGACGAUGUUAUUUGAAGCUUUUGAACCUUUAGUAGUGCUGGGAUACCUGUAAAACUCAUAUCAGGCUGUUUUCAGUUAUCUAAUCUUGUUAAGGCUAUCAUAUUGUCUAGAAGAUUGAGAUUUCCAUCCAAAUGUUAGGAUGAUUUUGGAAGCAGACGUGAUGUUGGAGGUUAUAUCAAAAAGCUACAAAUUUUUGUUAGGAUGAUUUUCAUGAUUACAUGACCAUAUAAAUGUAUUUUCACAAAAAUUGAUUCCGUCCCUACCCUUGACUUGAUCUUUAAUUCGUGAAACAGAGUUAAGGCUUCUGGGAUCCCUUCUGAUGAGAAAGUGAAGUUUGCAUAUGCAAUCAACAUAAGAAAGCUAGUCAAGCCACCACUACCAGCAGGAUACUGGGGAAUUCUGACCAAGGCUGAAGACCAUGUCGAUCAACCGAUAUAUAAAACAGCAGAAUUGAUCAACAAGAGCAAAUAAAUGUAUCUGAUGAAUAUGUUCGAUCAUUUAUCGAUUUUCAGGAGCUAAAUUAUCAUGAAGGGACCACAGUAGGAGCAAAGGUGAGUGGAAUUACUGAUUGGAGACACUUAGGCCAUUCCACAGUGGACUUUGGUUGGGGAGGUCCUGUUACAGUUUUUCCUCUGUCAAGAAACCUACUUGGAAGCGUUGAGCCCCGUUUCUUUUUGCCCUAUUCUUCAGCAAAUGAAGGGGAAAAGGAUGGUUGUAAACUUUCUGUGUGUUUGCAAGAACAUGCUGUUUCAGGUUUCAAAGAAGACAUGAAUAAGUUGAAGAAUUUAGAGCCUAGAUUCCUUUGAAUGAAGGGUUUCUUGUUAUCUUUGUCUAUGUUCCCGUCAAAUUGAAGAGGUUUCAACUUGGUGAAAUUGGCAAACCUUAUAAGGGUCUUUGGACAAAUGACCUUUUGCCUCAACAUUUUCAUUUGGUCCCGCAAAUAAAUGGGGAGUUGAAGGCGAACAAUUUUUAGUGUAUGUCUAGUUAUAAAAUCAAAGUCAACAGGCUAAAUACUCUCUCUGCA